This 430-nucleotide ribosomal RNA is filed under the name Bacteroidota bacterium. Its description in RNAcentral is "Bacteroidetes bacterium partial 16S ribosomal RNA". It matches the Rfam family "Bacterial small subunit ribosomal RNA", at positions 355 to 776 of the family's 1533-position model. The record is from RNAcentral. Lineage: Bacteria; Pseudomonadati; Bacteroidota.
UAGGGAAUCUUCGGCAAUGGGGGGAACCCUGACCAAGCAACGCCGCGUGAGUGAAGAAGGUUUUCGGAUCGUAAAGCUCUGUUGUUAAGGAAGAACGAGUGUGAGAAUGGAAAGUUCAUACUGUGACGGUACUUAACCAGAAAGGGACGGCUAACUACGUGCCAGCAGCCGCGGUAAUACGUAGGUCCCGAGCGUUGUCCGGAUUUAUUGGGCGUAAAGCGAGCGCAGGCGGUCAAUUAAGUCUGAUGUGAAAGCCCCCGGCUCAACCGGGGAGGGUCAUUGGAAACUGGUUGACUUGAGUGCAGAAGAGGAGAGUGGAAUUCCAUGUGUAGCGGUGAAAUGCGUAGAUAUAUGGAGGAACACCAGUGGCGAAGGCGACUCUCUGGUCUGUAACUGACGCUGAGGCUCGAAAGCGUGGGUAGCAAACAGG